UGUGGGAGCGGGCUUGCUCGCGAUAGCGGUGGUUCAGUCAAUUCACCAGUGACUGACACACUGCUAUCGCGAGCAAGCCCGCUCCCACA
RNAcentral lists this unclassified non-coding RNA (89 nucleotides) under Pseudomonas brenneri. The record is from RNAcentral. Lineage: Bacteria; Pseudomonadati; Pseudomonadota; Gammaproteobacteria; Pseudomonadales; Pseudomonadaceae.